Molecule: transfer RNA, 77 nt
Filed under: Caulobacteraceae bacterium
Lineage: Bacteria; Pseudomonadati; Pseudomonadota; Alphaproteobacteria; Caulobacterales; Caulobacteraceae
Also listed under: 2 other names
Description: tRNA-Arg
Rfam family: tRNA
About the family: Transfer RNA (tRNA) molecules are approximately 80 nucleotides in length. Their secondary structure includes four short double-helical elements and three loops (D, anti-codon, and T loops). Further hydrogen bonds mediate the characteristic L-shaped molecular structure. tRNAs have two regions of fundamental functional importance: the anti-codon, which is responsible for specific mRNA codon recognition, and the 3' end, to which the tRNAs corresponding amino acid is attached (by aminoacyl-tRNA synthetases). tRNAs cope with the degeneracy of the genetic code in two manners: having more than one tRNA (with a specific anti-codon) for a particular amino acid; and 'wobble' base-pairing, i.e. permitting non-standard base-pairing at the 3rd anti-codon position.
Source: RNAcentral
GUCUCCGUAGCUCAGCCGGAUAGAGCACAGGUUUCCUAAACCUGGGGUCGCGUGUUCGAGUCACGCCGGGGACGCCA